UAUUUUUGUUCUUCUGUUAGAAGAUUGUGCACUGAAUGUCAGCUUUGGAGCUGGGGAACUGACCCCACAUCCAUGGCCACUGAAAGUAAUUUACUGAUUUCAUUCCACAUUUUUUUAGUGACACGGGUUGGUUUUUAUUUUAUUAAAGGAGGUGAACAGACUGGCCUCAGAGUCAGGAGCUGUGAGCGGAGGAGCAGAGCUUGCGUGGCUCCGGUGCUGGUGGUUUCCCAGCCCGGGCAGCCUCGGCAGGCCACCCGGGGAGCCGCUUCCCUGUGCUUCUCCCCAGCGCCACACUCACGCUUGCCAAGCACAGCGGUGAUGCCAGCCCGGGGGCCCAGGGACCUGCUGCGCGUACAACUGUUGGACAGGUGACUGAGUUUUCAGCCCGAGUGGAUAAGAGGGGCAGCCCGUUGCUGGGCGGGCCUCAUGCCACGGUUUCUGUCACUGCCUGCCCCCACAGGCUGCCUCAGCCAGGGCCCAAGGCUGCCGUCUAGAUCAGCAAGCAUGGCAGGUCUGCGUGGCCCACAGGUGACGGACCUUCCAAAGGGGGCUGAUGCUUUCCUCUCCACAGUACCUGACUUCGGUUCCUGUCUGCCCUGCCCCAGCCUGACAACCGCCCCUCUGACUGUGGACAGGGUCUCAGUGACGACCUCAGGGGACAAGUCACUCCCCUCAGGCUCACCAUCCAAUCCGCUAUUUUGAGGAUCAGAAACCCAAGGCUCCCGGGGAAGAAUGUACCCAGACCACACCCCAAAGCCCAUGCUCACUUUCUCCAUCUCCCAGAGCGGCCCCAAGGUGGGUGCAAGCAGAGUGGGGAGUGCCAGUCCCAAGGGCCCAUCGUGGCUGGGAGGGUGGCGUGGUGGACAAGGUGGGUGUGGGGGCCCCUGUGCUCCAAUACCACCCCGGUGACAGAGCCCCCACCCCACCCCACAGCUCCAACAGCAUUGAACUGGGGUCUGAGACUACAGUUCACACGGGAGGUGCAGCCACGUGAGAAGCAAGGAGUAAAAAGGGGGCUUCACCCCCCUCCACAGGGGACGGCUGCUUCCACAUCUAACAAAACCCCAGGGAAAGUCCCCGUGCUGGGCCUCCAGCUAGCAACCCCAGUCCCACCCCAAGCGCACAGGUCCGUGUGUGGAGCCAAGGGCCCACCGUGGGGGGCACGCACACACGGGAAGAUGAGAGCUGUGGCUGCAGAAUGAGAAUUCCUGCCCCCCCCCCCCCCCAGUCACAGCCCGCAGUUGCACAUAUUUGCAGAGACAGAAGGCAGGAAGAUCGCUAAGGCCUUUUCCCAGCAGCCGUGGCAUCAGUGAUUCCGCUCCCCUUGGGCCAGAGGAGACGAAGACUCCAUGGUCCCCGGGGCCAGGGGACACCAGGCCUCAGCCCCUCCCCGGGUUCCGCAAGUGUCUGUCCUUCUUCCCUGACCUGUGGGGGACACAGGGUGGGGGCAGGAAGAGGUCUUCAGAGGACGAUGCUGUGCAAUGAGAAGGGACCAGACCACUACCCCAGGAUGAAGUCCCCAGUCAGGGUGGCAGGAAGGCGAAGGAACCCUCUUACCCCCCGGACGCUGCAGGUCUGAGUGGGACAGAACAACUUGGGAGGAAAAAUCCCCCCUGGCCCAGGAGGGGCCGCCCAGACUAACAUGGGGUGAACACGGGCAGCUCCCCGACCUCCCAGAAGACAGGCAAGUCUCCAGAUGCUGCUCCAAGGGGAGCCAGCUGGGUGUUGAAACUGGCUGAAACAGACCCCUCCUCAGGGCCCCUGCUCCUUCG
Molecule: long non-coding RNA, 1772 nt
Organism: Ursus maritimus (polar bear)
Lineage: Eukaryota; Metazoa; Chordata; Mammalia; Carnivora; Ursidae
Source: Ensembl